This 298-nucleotide ribosomal RNA is filed under the name uncultured bacterium. Its description in RNAcentral is "partial 16S ribosomal RNA". It matches the Rfam family "Bacterial small subunit ribosomal RNA", at positions 18 to 344 of the family's 1533-position model. The record is from RNAcentral.
CAUGGCUCAGAACGAACGCUGGCGGCAUGCCUAAUACAUGCAAGUCGAACGAGAUCUUCGGAUCUAGUGGCGCACGGGUGCGUAACGCGUGGGAAUCUGCCCUUGGGUUCGGAAUAACUUCUGGAAACGGAAGCUAAUACCGGAUGAUGACGUAAGUCCAAAGAUUUAUCGCCCAAGGAUGAGCCCGCGUAGGAUUAGCUAGUUGGUGGGGUAAAGGCCCACCAAGGCGACGAUCCUUAGCUGGUCUGAGAGGAUGAUCAGCCACACUGGGACUGAGACACGGCCCAGACUCCUACGG